UACGUAGGGUGCAAGCGUUGUUCGGAAUCACUGGGCGUAAAGGGCGUGUAGGCGGAACGAUUAGCGAGGGGUGAAAUCCCGGGGCUCAACCCCGGAACUGCUCUUCGAACUGUCGAUCUAGAGAAGGUCAGGGGCCGGCGGAAUUCCUGGUGUAGAGGUGAAAUUCGUAGAGAUCAGGAGGAACAUCGGAGGCGAAGGCGGCCGGCUGGGGCCAUUCUGACGCUGAGGCGCGAAAGCGUGGGGAGCAAAC
RNAcentral lists this ribosomal RNA (250 nucleotides) under uncultured bacterium. RNAcentral's name for it is "partial 16S ribosomal RNA". It matches the Rfam family "Bacterial small subunit ribosomal RNA", at positions 524 to 773 of the family's 1533-position model. The record is from RNAcentral.